CUCUUCCCUCCUUGUCUGUCUUCUUUCAGGUGUGUUUGUUUGGGAACUCUGAGGUGUCCUUGAGAGAUUUCUUGCGCUCAGGAUCAUCAGAGGAAGAGCUUCUGCAGAUCAUCGGAGCAGCAGUGGGCAGGAAGAAGAAACAACAUGCAGGAAUGUUCAAUAUCUCCAAGAUGAAGAACCGGCCUAUGAUCCUCAUUGGUGGGUGACAUGGCUGUACCAGAUUCCAACCGCCUAUGUCACAAGACAGCCAGAGAGAUUUCCCCAUUGUUUCCCAGCUUCCAAACAACACAGUCCUCUCUGCAGACACAGCUCCUCAUAUGUGCGCUUCAGGCAGCAGGAGAGUCCAAAUGAGAGAAAUGGAUUUAUUGUGCCUUCCACACUGCACUCGUUCAAUACAAG
This is a long non-coding RNA of Labrus bergylta (ballan wrasse), 399 nucleotides long. RefSeq lists it as uncharacterized. The record is from RefSeq and is a predicted model, not a curated record. Lineage: Eukaryota; Metazoa; Chordata; Actinopteri; Labriformes; Labridae.